GGGUGAUUAGCUCAGAUUAGCUCAGUUGGUAGAGCAUCUCCUUUACACGGAGGGGGUCGGCGGUUCGAGCCCGUCAUCACCCACCA
RNAcentral lists this transfer RNA (86 nucleotides) under Serratia marcescens. RNAcentral's name for it is "tRNA-???(tg)". The stretch from base 15 to 78 matches the Rfam family "tRNA", at positions 5 to 66 of the family's 71-position model. Rfam says of the family: Transfer RNA (tRNA) molecules are approximately 80 nucleotides in length. Their secondary structure includes four short double-helical elements and three loops (D, anti-codon, and T loops). The record is from RNAcentral. Lineage: Bacteria; Pseudomonadati; Pseudomonadota; Gammaproteobacteria; Enterobacterales; Yersiniaceae.